Molecule: long non-coding RNA, 1325 nt
Organism: Myotis daubentonii (Daubenton's bat)
Lineage: Eukaryota; Metazoa; Chordata; Mammalia; Chiroptera; Vespertilionidae
Source: RefSeq, a predicted model, not a curated record
GGGAGGACCCAGGCCGCAGGGGCAACAGCCCAGACACCUGGCAGAGACGGAGCUGAGACCCGUGGGAACUCGCAGUGGCAGAGAACUCUUCCAGGCAUCGCAGGGCCAGCGUGUCAUCCACGAGCAGGUCCAGCUUCAGUUCCUGCUUCACCCGUGGAGCCAGGUGGGGCUUACCUGGCAGUACAGGUAGUAGAGCCCAGCCCGGGUGACUGUGAACGCCCCGCUCCGGCCGUCAUAGCGCAGCGGGUUGGAGCUGUUGAUCUUGGCCUCCUCCCAGCCACUCACCGUCCCGUCCACACCUGAACGCAGACGUUCAAAGAGGGGCAGGUCCCCGCACAGGGCUCGCGCGGUCCCCAGGCACCCUCCGGGUUGUGAACCCUGAGGGCCCACCUGACCCAGAAGAUCCACAGAUGGCCCAGGACAAGGGAGGACCCAUGGCCUUGGGGGCCCAUCGUGUCAUGGGAAGUUACGUGAGGAAACCUGACCUAGCAACCAAAAGAGAAAAGAAGAACAGAAACUAGAAGCAUUUUGAGAAAAAUGGUCCGCGCAUGAAGAUAUGGAGGGGAAGGACAGGAAAAAAUCCAAGGCUGGGAGUGGCGCUUGGGACCUGGAAGCUCAACAGGGACCUGGGAGUUCUACAUCCUCUACACCCCGGAGCUGCCUAUUGUCGUGGAAAGAUUAACAACCUUGUUGCAGAAACCUGAGGCACCAGCCUUUUACGUACUCCCAGGCAUUUGCAGACCCCCAGCCCGCAUUGCCUGUAAACUGUCCAUUUUGCAUACCCAUUCUUUUCCUUUUUUGCCUACUUCCCCAAGUAAUCUCUGUGACAGGUGAAGUAGGGUAGCAAUCAUCUCAGGUAGAAACUGUAGUUUAACCCUGCUGUUUGGCUUACCAAUAGAAAAGUUAUUUUGAUUUUCUGAAUUACAUAAAUCAUCCCAUUAGAUUGAAUGCCUUAUUGAUUGUAAAGUGAAUAUCCCAUUGAUUGUGAUCUUACUGGUUUUAGAAAGCACAUUCCUCUGUACCUGGGAACCAGGACAGCACAAUUAUCCCAAGACCCGAGGGUUCCAGAUAAUGUGUCCCUGUCAACUCAGUGGUCCGAAGACCCAAAGCUAUAAUUAAUCUAUGUAGAUAACUAAUUGGCUCCAUCUCGCUUCUGUAACUGCUUUGUGCAAACCAGGGUCCUCAUUCAAACCCUGGGAUGUAAUCAAUACCUCUAUGCUCUUUGCCUGUAUAAAUCUGGUGUUGGGGCUGGGGAGGGCACUGCGAGAUUUGGGAGAGCAAAAGGCCCCCUCGUAGUCCCGGAUUGCAAUAAAUGUGACUCUUUA